RNAcentral lists this ribosomal RNA (468 nucleotides) under uncultured bacterium. RNAcentral describes it as "partial 16S ribosomal RNA". It matches the Rfam family "Bacterial small subunit ribosomal RNA", at positions 28 to 507 of the family's 1533-position model. The record is from RNAcentral.
GACGAACGCUGGCGGCGUGCUUAACACAUGCAAGUCGAACGGAAAGGCCCUGCUUUUGUGGGGUGCUCGAGUGGCGAACGGGUGAGUAACACGUGAGUAACCUGCCCUUGACUUUCGGAUAACUUCACGAAACUGGGCCUAAUACCGUAUAGCAGCUCCUGUUGCAUGGAGAGGGUUGGAACUUCUCGGCGGGCGGGGAUGGAUUCGCGGCUUAUCAGCUUGUUGGUGGGGUAGUGGCUUACCAAGCCUUUGACGGGUACCCGGCCUGUGAGGGUGACCGGCGUCAAGGGGACUAAGGGAGGGCGCAGUGGGGAACGGUAGACAGCAGGGGGAAGUAUGAUACAGCGAGAGGGAGCCGGAGGCAAAGACGCCGGGUGCGGGAAGACGGCCUGCGGGGUGAGAAAAGCUGUAGCCUAAGACGAAGCGGGAGUGACGGUAAUGGAUGAAGAAGCACCGGCUAACUACGUG